GUGUCCGGAGUACGAUGCUCAGCGCCCGACCUCCACCCUUUGUUGUUAAAACUACCUUGUUGCUUUGGCGGGACCGCUCGGUCUCGAGCCGCUGGGGAUUCGUCCCAGGCGAGCGCCCGCCAGAGUUAAACCAAACUCUUGUUAUUUAACCGGUCGUCUGAGUUAAAAUUUUGAAUAAAUCAAAACUUUCAACAACGGAUCUCUUGGUUCUCGCAUCGAUGAAGAACGCAGCGAAAUGCGAUAAGUAAUGUGAAUUGCAGAAUUCAGUGAAUCAUCGAAUCUUUGAACGCACAUUGCGCCCCUUGGUAUUCCGAGGGGCAUGCCUGUUCGAGCGUCAUUACACCACUCAAGCUAUGCUUGGUAUUGGGUGCCGUCCUUAGUUGGGCGCGCCUCAAAGACCUCGGCGAGGCCUCACCGGCUUUAGGCGUAGUAGAAUUUAUUCGAACGUCUGUCAAAGGAGAGGACUUCUGCCGACUGAAACCUUUUAUUUUUCUAGGUUGACCUCGGAUCAGGUAGGGAUACCCGCUGAACUUAAGCAUAUCAAAACCCGGAGGAAAAUG
RNAcentral lists this ribosomal RNA (560 nucleotides) under fungal sp. J8(2015). RNAcentral describes it as "eukaryotic LSU rRNA". The stretch from base 184 to 337 matches the Rfam family "5.8S ribosomal RNA". The record is from RNAcentral. Lineage: Eukaryota; Fungi.